GAUGAACGCUGGCGGCGUGCCUAAUACAUGCAAGUCGAGCGAACAGACGAGGAGCUUGCUCCUCUGACGUUAGCGGCGGACGGGUGAGUAACACGUGGAUAACCUACCUAUAAGACUGGGAUAACUUCGGGAAACCGGAGCUAAUACCGGAUAAUAUAUUGAACCGCAUGGUUCAAUAGUGAAAGACGGUUUUGCUGUCACUUAUAGAUGGAUCCGCGCCGCAUUAGCUAGUUGGUAAGGUAACGGCUUACCAAGGCAACGAUGCGUAGCCGACCUGAGAGGGUGAACCGCCACACUGGAACUGAGACACGGGCCCGACUCCUAAGGGAGGCAGCAGUAGGGAAUCUUCCGCAAUGGGCGAAAGCCUGACGGAGCAACGGCGCGGGAGUGAUGAAGGUCUUCGGAUCGGAAAACUCUGUUAUUAGGGAAGAACAAAUGUGUAAGUAACUAUGCACGUCUUGACGGCACCUAAUCAGAAAGCCACGGCUAACUACGUG
This 497-nucleotide ribosomal RNA is filed under the name uncultured bacterium. Its description in RNAcentral is "partial 16S ribosomal RNA". It matches the Rfam family "Bacterial small subunit ribosomal RNA", at positions 28 to 507 of the family's 1533-position model. The record is from RNAcentral.